CUGUUAUCCCCACGGUAACUUGGUUUAUCCUUUUUAGGGUUAGGUGAAUUUAUUUUUUAAAAAGAUUUAGUUUUUUGACCACCCCAGUCAAAAUAUUAUUUUAAGUUCGAUGGGGUCUUGUCGUCUUCUAUAACAAUUUAAGUCUUUUUACUUAAAUGGAAAUUUAAGGAAAUCUGAAUAAUAAAGAGUCCUACUCGUUAAUCCUUUCAUUCUAUCCUUUAAUUAGAAGGCAAAUGAUUAUGCUACCUUAGCACAUAAUAUUGCGGCUAUUUAAUUGUUCAUUGAGCAGGAUAUACUAAUUG
RNAcentral lists this ribosomal RNA (302 nucleotides) under unidentified. RNAcentral's name for it is "Stasimopus unispinosus partial large subunit ribosomal RNA". The record is from RNAcentral.